RNAcentral lists this ribosomal RNA (332 nucleotides) under uncultured bacterium. RNAcentral describes it as "bacterial SSU rRNA". It matches the Rfam family "Bacterial small subunit ribosomal RNA", at positions 568 to 898 of the family's 1533-position model. The record is from RNAcentral.
GGCGUAGGCGGCCUGUCAAGUCGGAUGUGAAAUCUCCCGGCUCAACUGGGAGGGUGCAUUCGAAACUGAUGGGCUGGAGUGCAGCAGAGGAAAGCGGAAUUCCCGGUGUAGUGGUGAAAUGCGUAGAUAUCGGGAAGAACACUAGUGGCGAAGGCGGCUUUCUGGGCUGUAACUGACGCUGAGGUCCGAAGGCGUGGGGAGCAAACAGGAUUAGAUACCCUGGUAGUCCACGCAGUAAACGAUGGAUACUAGGUAUAGGGAGUAUCGACCCUCUCUGUGCCGAAGCUAACGCUUUAAGUAUCCCGCCUGGGGACUACGGUCGCAAGACUAAA